This is a long non-coding RNA of Canis lupus familiaris (dog), 3867 nucleotides long. RefSeq lists it as uncharacterized. NCBI's taxonomy places the organism in Eukaryota, Metazoa, Chordata, Mammalia, Carnivora, Canidae. The record is from RefSeq and is a predicted model, not a curated record. The transcript is spliced from 6 exons.
CAGCCCCACCCCCUGACCUCUGUGGAGAAGGGGAGGGAGUGGAGAUUGAGUUCAAUCAUUAAUGGCCAAGGAUUUAAUCAAUUAUGUCUAUGUAAUGAAGCUUUCACAAAACCUUGAAAGGAUGGGGCUCGGAGAGCCUCUGGUUUGGUGAACCUGUGGAGAUUUGGAGAGAGUGAAGUGCUCAGAGGGGGCAUGGAAGCUCUGUACCCUUCCCACUACCCGGACCUAUGCAGCCAUCUUCCAUCUGGCUGUUCCUGAGUCAUAUCCUUUUAUAAUAAACUGAUUGAAACACUCACUCUAGAGCAGCAGGAGCAGAAGAGCCCCUAGACAUCAUGUCACCCACGCACUUGCCACAGCUUCCAUCUUCUCCUAUUUUAAUCACUUCAAGGAUUUCUCAUCUAAAAACUACAUUUCCCAAUGUGACCAGAUUCUACCAGUGGAAGUUAGGAUGUGUACAACUUCUGUACUGCGCCACUUGCCUUCUACCUCUUCUUUCUCUUCCCACAGCAUGCUUAUUGGUGAAACAUUACUGAGCCUAAAGUCUUUUUAGAGCCUCAGAUCUAUGACUGGCAGAGUUCCAGUGUCACGUGGUGAAGGAGAGGGCGCCAGACCUCCGCCUCCUGAUUCCCAGUCUCCGUUCUCAUAUCUCUGCUUGUCCAAGUACAGCCUUUAAAAUCUGUAGCAAGACAAGAUGGUACUGCUUCUGAAGAUAACGAAUUCCCCAUAUUCAGAGGCUUGAUGGCCAUCAAAGAGUGAUACGGUGAUAGCAAAAGGGAGAAGCAGCUUAUUUCUCACUUCAGAGGCAGAAGAAUAGUCUGAAAUGAGGAGUACAAACAAACCUCCAGGGAAAUCCAAGUCCGUGAUGAGAAAGAGCCCAAAGGCCACCCAAAUGAAAGAAACAAUAGACGGAGACCACCUCCCCCCUGGUCACAGAAGAUGGAGCGAGUGGCUAUGUGGGGAACAGAUGGAGGGACACUGGCCCAGUUUCAACUGCUAUUUAGGGUUUGGAUAGCUGGUUCUCGCUAAAGGCUGAGACAGAAAGCAUGAUAUUAGCUUCCUAUUGACUUUUCCUAGGGGCAAGUCUACACCUUAAAGUUGAGAGGGAGCUUCAGAAUGUAUUGAUCUGUCAUUGUAUAUAUGUACCAGUUCUAUUUCUGUAACUUGGACUGCAAUUUCCUUCAUCAUAUCAAAGGAUUUGCUAUAUAGAGAACCUUAAAUUUUACAAUGCCAGUGACUGUCAAUUAAGAUAUGAUUGAAUAUAUCACGGGUAUCAUAUGUUCAAAUGAGGCCUGUCGCUAAUAGCACUGGAGGCAAUGGCUUCUCUUUCUCCUCUUUCUAGGAAUGGGAAACUGCUCAACCACAGCCCGAUUGUCACGGCCAACGUGAAGUAAAGAAAAAAUUCAAUGGAAAGGAAUGUCUCUAAUCUAGGCAUUCAAAUCCCUGGGGGAGGGGAGCCCCCAAAACACAGGCUUCCAAGGCAUUUUUUUCUGUUUUUCCUUAGGCAUGUCUCCUACUCUACAAAACCAUUUCCUUUUCUUCACACUUGGGCCUUACAGCAGAUUGAGGGGAUAAGCUGACCAAGGAGAAUGAUCUCAUUUUACAGACAUGAAUGUUGGGCCUCAGAAUGCCUAGCUGACUGGGAAAGUGUCACAGAACCGGUGGACAGAGUCCACCUUGAGCUAGUCUUGUGCCCCUUCUCUGAGAGCCUUCCUUUUUCUCCGAGGCCUAUGUCAUUACUAAGCCGGAGGCACAUUGGUCUGUCUAGCAUGAGGGUUUGAAUUCUCUACUCUGCUCUGUCACAAACCCACCGUGUGACUUCAGAGAAGCCAUUUCUCCAUAUUGGUCUCUGAACUCAGGGAGCUCCAUACCAACAAGCAGCCGGAAGACCUCAGAGAUGAAUGCCUUGCAUCAGAAACCCCAGGAACAAGGAGCUGGGCAAGAGCCAUUGCGGCUGGUCCAGCUAAUCCUGGUGGACAGCUCUGCCUGCAGUGACAGAGAGGCCACCCAGGCUGCUGUCUGAUGUGGCCAGGGCAGGCUCGAGCCUGGGUGGUCAGUUUCUCUGGUUGGCCGAGGUGUGGGUGUGCGGGAAUCCGCUCCUCGCCCACAUAGCCCAGGAUGCUGUGUCUUGCCCAGAGGCACUCUAAGGAGAAGGCAAGCCCACUCCUCCUGGGGGCCCCGGCUGUUUCGGGGCCUUUCGAGGUUUUCCAGGACCUCAGAGGCACAGCCAAAAGUUGAGUCAAGUUCUGAAGAGAAGUGGAAAUACCUUCAUCUUGAAGAACAGGCAGGCGAGCUGGGGGCCUCUUUCCUCCAACAUCCUCCCUGACAGGUUAGAAAACGGAUUUUAGAGAGGGGGGCCUUUUAUGGUCACUUAGCAAGUGAGCUUCAGGGUAUUUAAUUUUGCAGUGCCAAGGGAAAUGAGGAAGUGUGCUAAGACUUGCGAAUCCACCAUGCCCAAUCUUCCGGAGUCACCCUGUCACGUGUUGGCAGCCGUCCCCUCCCUCGCUCCACCUCCACCCCUUCCCAAACCACCACCCAUCUCACUGCCUCUUCCAUAAGGCACUUACCUCACAUGCAGGUAGACUUGCCUUACACAGUUCACAUUCACUGACAGAUAAGCCAAUAUAGAAGGGCAGGUGAUGAAACUAGACUGGCCAGGGUGGGGUGUGUGUCUCAGCUCUACUACUCAAGCUCUGUGGCCUUGGACAACGUACUCAGCCAUGCGGUGCCUCAGUUUCCUGAACAUUGUAAUCAGAUAACAGUCAUACCCAUCUCAUAGGGUUGCUCUGCUAGUUGUGGCUACCUUUAGUUGAAAACCUACCAGGUGCCAUGAGCUUUACCAGCGAGUCCUAAACAACAACACGCUGCAAAACAUGCCCUAUUAUCUGUCUUUCACAGAAAGGUAUCAGCUCAGCCUGUACGAAGUAGGGUGCUGACUCCAUCUCAGGUUGGUCUGACCUCAAAUACAAAGCUCUUUUCCUAUACCUAGGGUGAGGACAUAUCCCAGUUUCCCUAGGAAGUUGUAAUUAAUAUCUAUUGUCUAUAAAUAAUUGUUUUUUUUAAAGAUUUAUUUAUUUAUUUAUUUAGUUGAAAGGAAAAAGAGAGAGAGUAUGAGCAUUGGGGUGGGGGCAGAGAGAGAAGCAGGCUCCCCGCUGAGCAGGGAGCCCAAUGCCCAGAGCCAAAGCAGAGGCUUAACUGACUGAGCCACUUAGGUGCCCCCUAGAAAUAAUUACUAACAGUGCCUCUUCCACAUUCAUAAGUGUACUGGUUUGGGCAAUAAAUUAUUUGGUUGCCUUACAUGCUCUGUAUUUCUUCUCUGCAAAGGAGAUUCUAAAUUUCUAUAAAAGCCACAUUUAGAAUUAGAAACUCUGUCUGGAGAGCCAAGGGUGGGCAGGCAAGCUGGCCUGGUUUGGUAAAUAGAUUAGGCAUCUUGUUUACUGGUAGAUUUGGGGCCCGAUUGGAAAGAAAUACAGCCUCCCUUUCUUUGUCUUUGCAAGUUUUACCAAGAUGCAUCUGCAAUCACCUGACCUUUUCACAAAAGAUUCUGGAAUUCAGAGACCUGUUUUGUGGUGGUUACUGAGUUAUCUCCCUUAACUGGGAUGUUUCUGCAAUUUUCUGCAAUAUUCCAUAGGUCAGAUCAAACAGCCCGGAUAGGAAUGCAGGGUGGUAAGUUCAGAAACUUUUCCUAUGGACCUUUAUCUAUUUUUAUUUCUGGGUUUUGAGUUCUAACCCUUUCAUAACAGUUCUCCUUCUUUAAAGAAAAUGUUGAUAUUGGAUAGAGAAACAAAGAGCAACAACCAUAACAAAGGAAUCACAAUAAAAACUAAAAGACAAAACAAAACACCAACCAAAAAAAAAAAAAAAAAAACA